This is a long non-coding RNA of Mus musculus (house mouse), 1218 nucleotides long. RefSeq annotates it as predicted gene, 39127. NCBI's taxonomy places the organism in Eukaryota, Metazoa, Chordata, Mammalia, Rodentia, Muridae. The transcript is spliced from 3 exons. The record is from RefSeq and is a predicted model, not a curated record.
CCACAAAUGAAGAGGAACAAAAUGUAAAAAGGGGAAAGGGUGCUUCCAGUCAUGGGAGCAUGGCUACCUUUGAAAGGACCAGGCCAUGGCUGCCUGAGAAGUGACCUGGCUAUGGCUGCCAGAGAAAGGACAAGAUCAUCACUACCUGAGAAAGGACAAGGUCAGAGAUCCAUUUGGCUGUAGCUUACAGUGAAUGGAGCAAAGAUCCCUGGAUGACCCACUGACCUGAUCACCAGUGACCUUGAAUCUACUCACAUUCUUACCUUGUUCUACUUUCUCAUCAAAGAGCCGAAAUGGCUAAAAAGCUCAUGAAUUUAUGUGAGAAUCAUUCAUCAGAAGAGAUUCAAAUCUUGUCACUGUUUCUUCCUGGUCACCUACCUGUACCUCAUCCCCAGCACCCACCAGACCAGGUGAGCCACCCAAGCUGGAAGCCUGGGAGCACCUUCUGUCUUUGCAUUGCUAAAUUUCCUCAGGUUUCCUUAGACCUGAAGGUGAGCUGGAUCCUGUUGCUCUGGGACCUUGAUUGUUCUCCUUCCUAGAAUAUGCACACAGCUGCUCCUUCUCCCUGUGAGUGCUCCGACUACAGACUGUAGUCCUCCCUAGAAUAUACCCACAGCUGCUCCUUCUCCCUGUGAGUGCUCUGACUACAGACUGUAGUCCUCCCUAGAAUAUGCCCACAGCUGCUCCUUCUCCCUGUGAGUGCUCUGACUACAGACUGUAGUCCUCCCUAGAAUAUACCCACAGCUGCUCCUUCUCCCUGUGAGUGCUCUGACUACAGACUGUAGUCCUCCCUAGAAUAUGCCCACAGCUGCUCCUUCUCCCUAUGAGUGCUCCGACUACAGAGUGUAGUCCUCCCUAGAAUAUGCCCACAGCUGCUCCUUCUCCCUGUGAGUGCUCCGACUACAGACUCUAGUCCUCCCUAGAAUUUUUACUUAUCUGUUCCUCCCUGUGAAUGCUAACCGAAGAGAAAGGGACGUCUCUGGUUCUGGGUUCCGGUGCUGUUCUCUGACACUGAGACCAACAGAUUUUACUUGAUCUCAGGUCAGAAUUGAACCAAGCUAACUGGUUGCCUCUGAUAGCAAUGCACCUUGCCAUUGACACUGUCACCAACUUUGAACACUUGUGUUUGGACUGGCCCCAAUCAAGUCCUUGCAGUAUUUAAAAACUGAACAUAGCGACAAUUGCUCUGUCAAGCUCAUGGGAGCUAUGAGGGAAAAA